AGUGGCGAACGGGUGAGUAACACGUGGGUAACCUACCAUAUAGACAGGGACAACAGUUGGAAACGACUGCUAAUACCUGAUAACAUAAGCUAUCGCAUGAUAGGUUAUGGAAAGGGGCGUAUGCCUCACUAUGUGAUGGACCCGCGGCGCAUUAGCUAGUUGGUGAGAUAAAAGCUCACCAAGGCGACGAUGCGUAGCCGACCUGAGAGGGUGAACGGCCACAUUGGGACUGAGACACGGCCCAGACUCCUACGGGAGGCAGCAGUAGGGAAUUUUCCACAAUGGGGGCAACCCUGAUGGAGCAAUGCCGCGUGAGAGAAGAAGGCCUUCGGGUUGUAAAUCUCUGUUGUAAGGGAAGAAAAUUGAUAAGAGGAAAUGCUUAUUAAGUGACGGUACCUUACCAGAAAGCCACGGCUAACUACGUGCCAGCAGCCGCGGUAAUACGUAGGUGGCGAGCGUUAUCCGGAAUUAUUG
This 474-nucleotide ribosomal RNA is filed under the name uncultured Eubacteriaceae bacterium. Its description in RNAcentral is "bacterial SSU rRNA". It matches the Rfam family "Bacterial small subunit ribosomal RNA", at positions 94 to 556 of the family's 1533-position model. Lineage: Bacteria; Bacillati; Bacillota; Clostridia; Eubacteriales; Eubacteriaceae. The record is from RNAcentral.